GAAAUGCGAUAAGUAAUGUGAAUUGCAGAAUUCAGUGAAUCAUCGAAUCUUUGAACGCACCUUGCGCUCAUUGGUAUUCCUUGGAGCAUGCCUGUUUGAGUAUCAUGAAAUCUUCAAAGUAAAUCUUUUGUUAACUCAAUUGGUUUCUACUUUGGUAUUGGAGGUCUUUGCAGCUUCACACCUGCUCCUCUUUGUUCAUUAGCUGGAUCUCAGUGUUAUGCUUGGUUCCACUCGGCGUGAUAAGUUAUCUAUCGCUGAGGACACUGUAAAAGGUGGCCAAGGUAAAUGCAGAUGAACCGCUUCUAAUAGUCCAUUGACUUGGACAAUACUUUUAUGAUUUGAUCUCAAAUCAGGUAGGACUACCCGCUGAACUUAAGC
RNAcentral lists this unclassified non-coding RNA (378 nucleotides) under plant metagenome. RNAcentral's name for it is "partial contains 5.8S ribosomal RNA, internal transcribed spacer 2, and large subunit ribosomal RNA". The stretch from base 1 to 105 matches the Rfam family "5.8S ribosomal RNA", at positions 50 to 154 of the family's 154-position model. The record is from RNAcentral.